This 85-nucleotide transfer RNA is filed under the name Felis catus (domestic cat). It matches the Rfam family "tRNA". From Rfam's summary of the family: Transfer RNA (tRNA) molecules are approximately 80 nucleotides in length. Their secondary structure includes four short double-helical elements and three loops (D, anti-codon, and T loops). RNAcentral also lists the same sequence under 1 other name. The record is from Rfam by way of RNAcentral. Lineage: Eukaryota; Metazoa; Chordata; Mammalia; Carnivora; Felidae.
GCCUGGGUGGCUCAGUCGGUUGAGCGUCCGACUUCGGCUCAGGUCAUGAUCUCAUGGUUUGUGGGUUCGAGCCCCAUAUUGGGCU